UUCAUCGCGUGUGGUGUGAAUGAAUCUCAUUCAUAAUCAUCGCGUAAGAAGACCUGUACAAAUUAGGAAGAUGUGAAGAAUAUUGUUGUUGUGAAUGGCUGAAUAAGUGUGAACUUGUGAUCUUAUCUCACCAGUUUAUUCGAUGUAUAAAUGUAAACAGUCGUCCGUCAGAAAAGUUAUUUGUUAUUUAAGAGAUUUUUUAUGCUUGUAGUUAGCGGCACUGGAGAUUCGACGCACGGCCAAAGGCGCGAUACUCAAAAGUAAUUACGAUGUCGUAAAUACAUGAAAAAAAUCAUGAAUCAGGUUUGAAAAAUUGUCUGUCAAGUGCAAACUUAAAAGUUGGAGUUACAGACGUCGUCGAACUUACGAUCUCCGUAAGAAUAUUUGAGUAUACAAACGCGAAGCUAAGGCCAGUGAACCCACCACAAGCUGCACGCCAAAGAUGCCAGUCUUAUUACUGAGUUGGAGUUUUGUCCCUGAAACUUCGAAUUAUUUACCCUGAAGCUCUUCUCGCCAAGAUUAUUAGUAUAAUUUUUGCCUGAGAAACGAGCAAGAAACGAAAAAUUUACGGAAAAAAUAGAGAAUGAUUGUGAGGAAUGGAACAAUAAAAUUUCUGACAAGUCUAGAGAAUUGAAGAAGAAACAAAGAAGACUCCCAAAAAUUAUUCUGCCUUGUGAUCAGUAUAUCAGCCGGAAGCUAUAAGGUGAAAAAAUUUUUUGUACAACGAAAUGAAGUAAAUCUGCAUUUAACUUCUACAGAAAGAAACUAUUUGAGGAGCUGAGCGCCACCUUUCAUUUGGCUCAAAGAAAUUCGUUUUUCAGAAGAAAAAUAAAACUCUACGGAAUAAGAACGCCUGGCAACGAAAAAUUCUCUUUAGACGCCGGAUGUUUCCUCAAAAUCUGCGGACAGUCUACACUUUUACGGAUUUCCAACAUCAUUGUACUAUCUCAUCACUAAAAUAUUAUUGUGCUAUCAAUAUCAUUGUACACUCUCGUAUAGAUUUGCUGACGUUCGAUUUGUUAUGUUAUAAUUUUACUCUUAUAUACACAAAAAACAUAAUGUUAAGCCUCUAAUUACAUAAACAAUCAUCGAUGACGUACAAAAAUGCACGUUUUGUCUCGCUUUUUCAUAUCCACAAAAUCUGCACAACAAUUAAAACUUGGGCAUUACUUGAAUUAAUCAAAAAUUAUUUAUUGCUCCAAAUUCUUCUGAUGGCGAGUUGCCGUAACAAUAUAAUUAGACAAAUUAGAAGCUGUCACAAUUAUUUUUAAUCCUUCGUACUUAAAAUAAGAUUCUCAUUGAUGUGUUGAAUUGUGAUCUUAUGAAUGUGUUGAAUUCUGAUCAACGUUUUCGUGUUGACGUCAUGACUCAUGUUGGGAAGCAGUCUCUACACUCAGUAGAAUGAGUGGGUCAAAUUGUCCAAAUCGUGUCACACUUUAGUGCCUUCAGCACGAGCAGAGAGCAAACGUAGCACUGAUACGAUAUUUUGCCAGGAAAACUGGGUCAGGAUGACCCAGAAUGCAUUAUCCCAGAGGGUAAAGAAUGCAUCCUAAUUCGGAUGAAGUCUCACUCAUUUGGAUGAGUGUAGAGAAGUAAUUAACAUGAAACGAAAUUGUAAUACUCGAUUCUUAGCAAAAUAGUUAAUUGGAAAUUGAAUUUGUAAACAAUUAGUGGCAGUGAUUCCACCUAGGAUAUAAAUAAUUAAUACCAUAUUACAAAUAACAUUUACAUUAUCGUAAUCAAAAAUUUGCCAAGUAUAAUACGAGACUGACAGUUGAAAUAAAGCUUCGUUUUCACUGAUGGUCUUAUUAAAACGUAUUUUAGAAGUAAAGCUUUAGGUUUCUUCUGAAAACUUUGCUGUGGCUGCGUCCAUGUGGAUUUGGAAGCCAAUUUGUCUUAUAAUUUUUCACAAUAAAAUAAAAUCGACAAAAGAACCUGGCAUAAAUUAACGCUUUUUGUGGAUAUUUAGUUAUGUCUAUACCGGCAUUAUGUGUGCUAUUUCUUUGUAUUCUUGAUGGAAAUUUCUAUGGAUUUAUACAAAAUGUUUAUUUUUACAUAAAACGUCGAAUAAAAAAGUGUUUUAUCAUCUCCUCA
Hyalella azteca is the source of this 2094-nucleotide long non-coding RNA. RefSeq lists it as uncharacterized. The record is from RefSeq and is a predicted model, not a curated record. NCBI's taxonomy places the organism in Eukaryota, Metazoa, Arthropoda, Malacostraca, Amphipoda, Hyalellidae. The transcript is spliced from 2 exons.